UGGGGAAUAUUGGACAAUGGGCGCAAGCCUGAUCCAGCAAUGCCGCGUGUGUGAAGAAGGCCUUCGGGUUGUAAAGCACUUUAGCCAGGGAAGAAAAAGCUCAAGCUAAUAUCUUGAGUGUUGACGGUACCUGGAGAAUAAGCACCGGCUAACUCUGUGCCAGCAGCCGCGGUAAUACAGAGGGUGCGAGCGUUAAUCGGAUUUACUGGGCGUAAAGCGUGUGUAGGUGGCUGUUCAAGUCGGUUGUGAAAUCCCCGGGCUCAACCUGGGAAUUGCUUCCGAGACUGAGCGGCUAGAGUACGGUAGAGGGCGGUGGAAUUUCCGGUGUAGCGGUGAAAUGCGUAGAUAUCGGAAGGAACACCAAUGGCGAAGGCAGCCGCCUGGGCCUGUACUGACACUGAGACACGAAAGCGUGGGGAUCAAACAGG
This 428-nucleotide ribosomal RNA is filed under the name uncultured bacterium. RNAcentral describes it as "bacterial SSU rRNA". It matches the Rfam family "Bacterial small subunit ribosomal RNA", at positions 355 to 776 of the family's 1533-position model. The record is from RNAcentral.